CCUACGGGUGGCAGCAGUGAGGAAUAUUGGUCAAUGGACGCGAGCCUGAACCAGCCAAGUAGCGUGAAGGAUGACUGCCCUAUGGGUUGUAAACUUCUUUUAUAUGGGAAUAAAAUGUUCCACGUGUGGGUUUUUGUAUGUACCUUAUGAAUAAGGAUCGGCUAACUCCGUGCCAGCAGCCGCGGUAAUACGGAGGAUCCGAGCGUUAUCCGGAUUUAUUGGGUUUAAAGGGAGCGUAGGUGGAUUGUUAAGUCAGUUGUGAAAGUUUGCGGCUCAACCGUAAAAUUGCAGUUGAUACUGGCAGCCUUGAGUACAGUUGAGGUAGGCGGAAUUCGUGGUGUAGCGGUGAAAUGCUUAGAUAUCACGAAGAACUCCGAUUGCGAAGGCAGCUUACUAGACUGCAACUGACACUGAGGCUCGAAAGUGUGGGUAUCAAACAGGAUUAGAUACCCGAGUAGUC
Molecule: ribosomal RNA, 460 nt
Filed under: uncultured bacterium
Lineage: Bacteria
Description: partial 16S ribosomal RNA
Rfam family: Bacterial small subunit ribosomal RNA
Source: RNAcentral